Molecule: ribosomal RNA, 348 nt
Filed under: uncultured Diversispora
Lineage: Eukaryota; Fungi; Glomeromycota; Glomeromycetes; Diversisporales; Diversisporaceae
Description: SSU rRNA
Rfam family: Eukaryotic small subunit ribosomal RNA
Source: RNAcentral
AGCAGCCACGGUAAUUCCAGUUCCAAUAGCGUAUAUUAAAGUUGUUGCAGUUAAAAAGACUCGUAGUUGAACUUCGAGGUUUACCCAUUGGUCAGGCUUAAUUGUCUGUACUGGUGAGAUGAAUCUCUACCUUCUGAGAAACUUUCAUACCAUUUAUUUGGUGUGAUGGGAAAUCAGGACUGUUUACUUUGAAAAAUUAGAGUGUUUAAAGCAGGCUAACGUCUGAAUACAUUAGCAUAGAAUAAUGAAAUAGGACGGACUGAUUCUAUUUCGUUGGUUUCUAGGAUCACCGUAAUGAUUAAUAGGGAUAGUUGGGGGCAUUAGUAUUCAAUUGUCAGAGGUGAAAUU